UCAUCUGGGAUGAAGAAGCCUUCGUGCUCACCCUGACUGCAGACCUUUUUUAGCAAGGUCUGAACACACAGGAGCAUCAAUCGGACUCUGGACUUCUUAAACUGCAGUAGACACAGACACGUUCACUGAACAAAGGCUCCAGAGCCAUGAAGGGCGGAGCUUGGAUGGGAUAGGGAUCAACAGGGUGGAGAUUCCUGAGGGAAAAACAUCCCCUACUCCUCCAUUGCUCCAUUUCCCUGCCUUCUGGCAACUGCUCAAAUCUCUUCACUCCAGGUGGAGCUUUCCCACUUCCCACCCCAGUCAGCCUCAGGCCACAUGGCUCUCCUCUCCAGCCCGUGGAUGCUUUCUUCACCUUCCUUUUCCAUAGCUCUAUUUAGCCUCUCUUGGUUUCCUCACAAGUCCUUUCCCCAUGGCCAGGGAGGGCUGCUAUGGAGCCAAGGGACAUCCUCCUGGCCAUGUGUGAAGAGCAAUGGCAUUUUAUGUCGGAAUCCUCCCACCUUUUGGGGCUGUGACUUGCAUGGGACGAGGAGCCCACCUGGACCUGUUUUUCCACCCAGGUACGCUUCACUCUCACAUCUUGUUCCUGUGAUGUUUCCAUCCUCGGGGCAGAGAAGCCAAGUGGAGCCCAGCUAGUCCGAGGCUUGUGAUCAAUAAACAAAAUAGUCAAUCCUCCAUUUCUUCCACCUCCUAAG
Molecule: long non-coding RNA, 692 nt
Filed under: Heterocephalus glaber (naked mole-rat)
Lineage: Eukaryota; Metazoa; Chordata; Mammalia; Rodentia; Bathyergidae
Description: lncRNA (ENSHGLG00100050831.1)
Source: RNAcentral